This 69-nucleotide transfer RNA is filed under the name Ophiophagus hannah (king cobra). It matches the Rfam family "tRNA". From Rfam's summary of the family: Transfer RNA (tRNA) molecules are approximately 80 nucleotides in length. The record is from Rfam by way of RNAcentral. Lineage: Eukaryota; Metazoa; Chordata; Lepidosauria; Squamata; Elapidae.
GCCUCUGGUCUAGUGGUUAAGGCACCAGGCUAGAAACCAGGAGUGUGAGUUCUAGUCUCACUUUAGGCA